RNAcentral lists this ribosomal RNA (338 nucleotides) under uncultured bacterium. RNAcentral's name for it is "bacterial SSU rRNA". It matches the Rfam family "Bacterial small subunit ribosomal RNA", at positions 1 to 334 of the family's 1533-position model. The record is from RNAcentral.
GUGAGUAGUUCAGAGUUUGAUCCUGGCUCAGGAUUAACGCUGGCGGCGUGCAUAACACAUUCAAGUCGAACGGUGAUGAGAGCUUCGGCUCUCUGAUCAGUGGCGGACGGGUGAGUAACGCGUGAGCAACCUGCCCUUGUGUGGGGGAUAACGUCUGGAAACGGACGCUAAUACCGCAUAACCCAAUAGUACGGCAUCGUACAGUUGGCAAAGAUUUAUUGCACAAGGAUGGGCUCGCGUCUGAUUAGCUAGUUGGUGAGGUAACGGCUCACCAAGGCGACGAUCAGUAGCCGGACUGAGAGGUUGAACGGCCACAUUGGAACUGAGAUACGGUCCAG